This 1580-nucleotide long non-coding RNA is filed under the name Aedes aegypti (yellow fever mosquito). RNAcentral describes it as "lncRNA AAEL024728". The record is from RNAcentral. Lineage: Eukaryota; Metazoa; Arthropoda; Insecta; Diptera; Culicidae.
UAGAGCUGGUCUAUUAAAUUUGAAUUGAAAUAUUACUUGGGUUUAGUUGAGCAUAAAUAUUUCAAUUUAACGUGCAUGUUUGAUAUUAGCGUGCAUGUUUAAUAUUAGCGUGCCUUUUUGAUAUAAGCGUGCAUGGUGUAUAUGAGCACUAUAUUAUUAGAGUGUAACAAUUGACAGUUCGAAAGCUCGAAUGAGCGCGAAAACAGCUUGCACGGAGAACUUAGGAAAUACUAAUUAGGGUAUGAAAUAUCACACGGAUUGCAUUUUUGAUUUUUAUGCAUUACGCGGCAUAUGAAAUAUACGCCAUCAACAUAAAAUUUAUCCUUUGCAAUGCAUUUUUGAAAAUUAUUAUUCUGUAUGGAUUUUGUCUAUUUUUUGAUACACUUGGGACUCGGCGAUUUUUUAUUUGCAGUUUUAUUAGCAGGCUAUCGCAUGGAAGUAACAAUGCGUGGCUACUAAUUCGCGAGUUUUUUCGUAUAUUCGUCGGUGUUAUGGCAUAGAACGAUAUUUCUACAGUCCCCAAGUGUACCACAAGUAAGUCGGAAAAACUAGAACUAACAAGGAGAACGAGUAACAAAAAUUGGAUAUAUUUCAGCCAACCGGAUAAUGAGGAAGGAAAAGACGAAACUUCCGAGGAUCGACAACAUUCGUGGCAGAGAUGGCAGACGAAGAACAGUAGUUCUGAAAGCGCCAUUGAGGAUAUUAUGAAAGGCGGACUCAGCCCCUACCCUACAGCUGUGCCUAUAGCGUACUCUAGGCUGACAAAUGGAACCUACCGGCGAUUCCAGGGGAAGGUUUGCUAACGUACCUGAGACAUGAGACUGUGAAGUCAGGUGUGAUUUCAUCAGCCGCCGGAAUGAUUCCAUCGUGGGUUCCGAUACCACCAAUGUCAUUCAUACUGGUGUGUUCAGGUUUCCGGAAUGUCGAAGUAUUUCAUUGUCGUUCGGUGAUAGUGGAGCGCCUCAUAUAUUGAAAUAAAUGUUUUUUAUAUCAUGUCUUUCAAUUCAACUAAUUUGUUUUUCAUCUUCCUGCCGUUGGGCUUGAAAGUAAACAAAAGAAUAGUGACAGCUUAAAAAUAAUGCGCAGUUAUGCAUUGUAAUUCAUAAAAAUGUUUUAUACUUUGAAGGCAUAAUGAAAAGAUAUUCAUUCCAUGGAGUGAAUAGACGGAAUAUGGUUUUAGUAUAGGUUUUAAGCAUUUCAGUAUUUAAAUAUUUAAGCGUGUGGCUUGAAUCCAGACUUCAGUUUAGUGAAAAUUGUUGUGGAUGAUGGUUGUGGAAGAAAACGGCAGUGUAAUUUUCAGCCGUAGUGGAAAAUCGACUGAUGGCCGAAUCUGCCGAAAGCUGUACAGCUCAAAAUUACGGAUACUACAAUAUAUAUAAACAUCUAACCGGGAAGGCUACUCGUUCCGUCAAACUACAUCCUCCAAUGUCUUUCAUCAAUCCCCCAGAGAUUUACAAUACCCGGGGAUACAUUCAAGAGCAGCAAAAGCUUCGACACAAAUACCACAAUUUUUACUUAAAAUCAUGUACUAUCCCAACAUUAAUGUUUAAGAUAAUAAAAUAAAUGUUAUGCUUUUUGUA